GAUGAACGCUGGCGGCGUGCCUAACACAUGCAAGUCGAGCGAACAGACCGGGAGCUUGCUCCUCUGACGUUGGCGGCGGACGGGUGAGUCACACGUGGAUAACCUACCUCUAAGACUGGGAUAACUACGGCAAACCGGAUCUACUACCGGAUAAUAUAUUGAACCGCAUGGUUCAAUCGUUAAAUUCGGUUUUUGUGACACUUAUAGCCGGCUCCGGGCCGCAUGAGUUAGUUGGUAAGGUAACGGCUUACCAACGCUACGAUGCGAAGCCGACCUGAGAGCGUGAUCGGACAGACGGGAAGUGAGACACGGCAGAGACUCCGACGGGAGGCCGCAGUCGAGAAUCUUCCGCAAGGGGCGAGAGCCUGAUAGAGCAACGCCGCGUGAGGGAUGAAGGACCUCGGAUGGUAAAGCGCUGUUGGUAGGAAAGAACAAAAGCGCAUGUAACCAGGAUGGUAUUGACGGUACCGAAAGAAUAAGCCCCGGCUAACUACGUG
RNAcentral lists this ribosomal RNA (497 nucleotides) under uncultured bacterium. RNAcentral's name for it is "partial 16S ribosomal RNA". It matches the Rfam family "Bacterial small subunit ribosomal RNA", at positions 28 to 507 of the family's 1533-position model. The record is from RNAcentral.